CCCCUUUUAAAAACACUCAGUGGGCCUUUUGCUAAUGACCCAUCGAGCCGUCCAGAAGGAGCAGAGCCAUCGAGCCGUCCAGAAGGAGCAGAGCCAAAAACACCGCUUCUGGGUGAAGUGGCAACUUGUUGUGUUGUUUUGCUUCAAUCGGUGGUGUGACAAGA
Small nucleolar RNA from Lepus europaeus (European hare), 164 nucleotides. The record is from RefSeq and is a predicted model, not a curated record. NCBI's taxonomy places the organism in Eukaryota, Metazoa, Chordata, Mammalia, Lagomorpha, Leporidae.